GCUACCCACCUGUGUCACUUUUGUUUGAUUUGAAGCCUUCCGUGAGAUUUUGGGUUUGGGCGAUAUCCACAAACCACCAUACAACGGGAGUCAGCGGGGCACAGACUUUAAAUCCGUCGUACACGCAUAAACAGUAUUUUCUUAUUUUGUUUAGGGUCAUACAAUUACGUUUCCGCCUCAUUUCAAUAUUUAAAUCUCCCGGGUUCAGUGAACGAAUUAAAAAUCUGUAUUGACUGAGGUGUGCCACGUCAUCUUUCUGCGACGCUCAUUCUGACAGCCAGGAGCCAGCCAGCUCUGCUACGGCAGUCGGCAACAUGAUAAAGUAACAAGAAGCAAACGUUGAAGCUCUCGGUUUUUAACAGUUCUUCGGCUAGAACUUUGCUAUGGGUUGAAUGUGCGCAUAUACUGGAUGCUGAAACUAAACGACAAGCUUUAUGAAACCGUGGCAUUUUGCGUUGAGAUGGAAAAGGAACGCGCCACACUCUCCUGGAUACGAGGCUACGUGUGUGCGGUUUCUACCAGCAAAACAAACUAGCAGGACAGAAGUGACAGCGUCAGAAAGAAAACAAUGCUGUUCCGAUUGCUGAUGGAGACAACAGAGGAAGGUGCCAAGUAACUCUGGAGGAUAUUCUCGCCAUGACGAAUCGAGCUGGUAUCAACGUUCUUCGAAGUUGAAUCGGAGAUUAUAGCCAAAACUCGCAGGAACACAUAGCUUUCAAUUGAGAAAUGCUGUACACAGCGCCCAGCGCCCUGGGAGCUGAACGUCUGCGGCCAGGUUACAGUACAGAAGGGUCAUCCAAGGUGCAUCAUGACCCUCAUCCAUCUCCACCAUACCAUAUGCUGGAUGGAGUCAGAGUCUCUACAUUGACUUAUCAUCUUGUGUUAUAUUGAGUAAUUACAAUGAAGUUAUAAAUCUAGUUGGUAAUACUACACAUAAUUUGACAUUACACAUCUUAGGUGCAUUGUGGGGACCCCUUAUUGGACCAAAUGUAGCUGGUUCGAAUCCCUCCUGACCUCUCCCUACAUCUCCAUCCAUGGCUGAAGUGCCCUUGAGCAAGGCACCUAACCCCACAUUGCUCCAGGGACUGUAACCAAUACCACUUUUGGUAAAUGAAAGCGUCAGCUAAGUGCAAUGCAUUUUUUUUAAAAAUGCAAUGAAAUGAAAAUGUAAUAUUCCAUGUCUUUUGAUAACAUUUGUAAAUUAAUUUCAUGCAUCAUUCCAUUGUAACAAUCAUAGGGACACUUUCUCAACUUCCACCUGCACAAUAUCUUGGACUCACAGGAAGAGAUUAUCUACAUAAAUCAAAAGACACCGCACACUGCUUACCAUUCUUUUUCUUACUUUAUUUUGACACACAGGGCAAAAUGCGUUGUUAGCUCAGAAAAAUGAAGGAAGAAAAAGAACAAUAAGCAGUGUGAAAUGUCUUUUGAAUUUUGUUCAUUGUUCACCUUCUCCUGCCUCACAUCAGCACCUGCAUUGCUGAGGGCUUGUGCACAAGGACUCUCUUGAACUUAGGUCAUCAAUAUAAUUUGAUGGCCAUUGAAAAUAAAUUUUACACAUUUA
Engraulis encrasicolus (European anchovy) is the source of this 1564-nucleotide long non-coding RNA. RefSeq lists it as uncharacterized. The transcript has 3 exons. The record is from RefSeq and is a predicted model, not a curated record. Lineage: Eukaryota; Metazoa; Chordata; Actinopteri; Clupeiformes; Engraulidae.